AUGUCCUGAAGAUCAUGGACCGUGCCCGAUGCCAUCAUUUAAAUUUCUCAGGUGGCCUCAACCCCUGUCAGCGGCUCCUACACUGUGACCUCACUCAGCUCCACUCCCCAGAACUCCAGGUCUGGCAGUGUUGAUGCAAUUCCAGAGAUUCGUUAGAAAACUGAAAGUUCCAAUAUUUGAUCAAAAGAAACCUCAACAAGAGAAGCAGAAAACAUUCCUUCUUCCUGGAAAGCUGUAGAAAGACAGCCACUGUCCUGGGGAAAGACACGGUCCUGGUAAGUGCUAUUUGAAAGACACCCACAUUUCGGUGGUUAUUGCUCUGCCUGGGAAAGUCCCUCCAACCUCUACAUCCAGGGAGAUCUGAGGGGCUGUCUCUGCUCCUGGCCCAGGUGAACCACACUGAAAUGCACCUGUCCUCUGAGGAACGGGGACUUGAGGGUGUCAUUCAGUAGCCAGGGAGGGGACUGGCCCUCCUCCCUUCUCCCACAUACAAUAAGCUGUGACCAUACACCCGUUCUUAAUUCAAGGAGGAAAACGAGAUUCUGUGUCUCAUUUACAUGAGCAUAAGCAGUGAAAGAACCAUACCACAACACCCAGGCUGUGACAGAAACAGGAUAUAACGUAAGAGUCAAAUCUACCAUUUACUAUUAAAGAAAUAAUAUCGCUCCUCCCCAAUGGGUAAACAGUCGCUGGGGUGGAGAUGUCAGGGAGUUGGAGGGGGGUCGUGCCCUCCCUCUGGGGCUUUAGGGGAAACCAGGGAAAG
Molecule: long non-coding RNA, 763 nt
Organism: Diceros bicornis minor
Lineage: Eukaryota; Metazoa; Chordata; Mammalia; Perissodactyla; Rhinocerotidae
Exons: 3
Source: RefSeq, a predicted model, not a curated record